GCGGGAGAGUAGGUUAUUGCCAGGGUUUUUAUUUUUAUACUUUAAACUUUGAUUUUAUUUUUAUGUUUUUUAAAUAUUGGUGUUUUUGAAUGUGUUGUUUAAAUAACAUAAAAAAUAAAAUAUAUAUUGACAUGUAUUAAACAAAGAUAUAUAUUAUUUUAUGUUGUAUAAAUAAAUUGGCAAAAUAGAGAUGGAAGAUAAAAAUAUGGUCAAAGUAAUAAGAGUCUAUGGUGAAUGCCUAGA
RNAcentral lists this unclassified non-coding RNA (243 nucleotides) under Borreliella burgdorferi (Lyme disease spirochete). RNAcentral's name for it is "partial 5S-23S ribosomal RNA intergenic spacer region". The record is from RNAcentral. Lineage: Bacteria; Pseudomonadati; Spirochaetota; Spirochaetia; Spirochaetales; Borreliaceae.